GAUGAAGAACGUAGCGAAAUGCGAUACGUAAUGUGAAUUGCAGAAUUCAGUGAAUCAUCGAAUCUUUGAACGCAUAUUGCGCUCUCUGGUAUUCCGGAGAGCAUGCUUGUUUGAGUAUCAGUAAACACCUCAACUUCCAUAUCUUUUUUGAAAUGGGAGUUGGACUUGAGUGAUCCCAACGCUUUUCCUCACCGAAAAGUGGCGGGUUACUUGAAAUGCAGGCGCAGCUGGACUUUUCUCUGAGCUAUAAGCAUAUCUAUUUAGUCUGCCUAAAAACAGAUUAUUACCUUUGCUGCAGCUAACAUAAAGGAGAUUAGUUCUUGUGCUGACUGAUGCAGGAUUCACAAAGACAGGCUUCGGCCGACUUUGUAAACUCGAUCUCAAAUCAAGUAAGACUACCCGCUGAACUUAAGCAUAUCAAUAAGCGGAGGA
RNAcentral lists this unclassified non-coding RNA (432 nucleotides) under soil metagenome. RNAcentral describes it as "partial contains 5.8S ribosomal RNA, internal transcribed spacer 2, and large subunit ribosomal RNA". The stretch from base 1 to 120 matches the Rfam family "5.8S ribosomal RNA", at positions 35 to 154 of the family's 154-position model. The record is from RNAcentral.